AAAAGGGUCACCCACUUCUGAGAGUUCUUCUUCCCAAAAAGACCUAUCUUCCUCUGCCACUCUCAAUCCUCGCAGGUACUAAUCUAAUCACGUUGAUAUUAUUUUUUUUGCAACCCCCGUUUGAUUCCCAAGAAAAUCCAUCCCCCAUUUGAUUUCCGGGAAAAUUCAUUCUCGUUUGAUUUCCGAGAAAAUCCAUUCAAAACCCCCAAAGAAAACCAAAAAAUUUGCUUUUCUUUUGCUCCCUGUGUUUUCUGGAUCUGUUUUAAGGGUCUCUUUGCUGUUGUGCCAUUGGAUUUAAAUUUCACGAACCCUAAAUCCACGAUUUUUGAGCCAGAUUUUGUAUCCUGUGCGCGGGCUGGACUGGUAGGAAAAUAUCGGGAAAUUUUCCGAUAAAUCGGUGCUUCGCCGAUAUUUCGCCGAUAUAUAGGCGAUUUUGCCGAUUUUUUUGUCGAUUUUUCCGUCGAUCGAUAAUCGGUGACGAUUAUCGUCUCGGCGCCGUCCGAUAUCCGAUAUUUCUUCGAAAUAUCGGCGACAUUUUCCGAUUUUUCAAUCCCUGAUUGAGGCAGAGAUCGAGUACAACCCUAGGGCAUAAUCUCAAUGGCGACUCCUGAUCAUGCUGAAAAUGAUCUUCAGCCAUUCUUUGUUCUUCACAAAGCUUUGGUUCAGAAAUCUGAGAGGAAAUCAUCAGGAUCUAGGAAAAUCAGGAGGAGAAUUGAAUUAUCUCCAAUAUCAGCUAAAAAUGCUGAGAAAAUGGAAAUUGGCACUGGUGAAGAACGGGAUGAUCAUCACUAUGAGCACUUGCGAAUGGAAGCUUUCAAUUUUGUCUGGUCGAAGAUUGAGUCCACCAUUAAGGAUGUUUUGAGGAACAUCAAUCUUAAUGUAUUCAAUGAGAUUCAUCGCUGGGUUUGUGAAUCAUUUGAUGCAAUUAAAUCAUGUGGGACCACACUCACCAAGGCAACUCACUCAUACCCCAUUGUAACUGAUGCUACUUUUAGACAGCUAUUCACUGGGUUGGUUUUCACCAAGAAUAUGGAGUUUGUUGAUGAUCUGAUGACGUUUGAAGAGCUCGGUCUACAUCUAAAAUCUCACGGAUGUCACGUGGCUAACUUAUCAUCUAUUGACUUUUCGGCAAAUAAUGGCAUUGGUGGCUGUCUCAGAAGUUUGUUGAGACAGUUUCUAAUGGUUACUUUGGAUGCAGCUGAUAUAUCCAUUUUAGCAUCAUGGUACAGUGACCAAGGAAACUACAACAAGCCUGUGGUUGUGAUUAUAGAUGAUAUGGAGCGAUGCUGUGGGUCUGUAUUAUCAGAUUUCAUCCUUAUGUUGAGUGAAUGGGCGGUCAAGGUUCCAGUCAUUUUAAUAAUGGGAGUUGCAACGACUCUUGAUGCCCCAAGAAAUAUACUUCCUUCAAAUGUGCUCCAACACUUGCACGUUUCCAAAUUCCUCUUGGGAUCUCCAUCUGAGAGAAUGGAUGCAAUUGUUGAGGCUGUUCUUGUGAGACUGUGUUCUGGGUUUUGUGUUGGCUACAAGGUGGCUGCUUUUAUGAGAAACUACUUUUUAAGGCAAGAUGGAACAUUAACCUCUUUUAUUAGAGCUUUGAAGAUUGCAUGUGUCGAACAUUUCUCCUCAGAGCCUCUAAGUUUCAUGCUCAAGGCGUUAUUUGUUGAGGAAAACAGUCAGGGGUUUUGGAGUGAAGAACAUGCACUCUUUCCAGAAGAAAUGUUAAAAUACGCUUUUGAUCUUCCAUCUUGUAGGAGGAAUAACACGGAAGAACGGACUGGUGAAAACUUGGCUCAUGAUUUGUCAGAACUGAAGAGAUUGCAAAAGUGCUGGAGCACUACAGUUCUGUGCCUAUAUGAAGCUGGAAAGUAUAAUAAAAUCCAAUUGUUAGACUUGUUUUGUGAGGCAGUUGUUCCAUGUUUGGGCAACUCAACAGCUUCUAAUCAUCACUUGGGUUCUGGAAUAUCAUCUUCUAGUGAUCACUCUAUUCAUCACCAAUAUCUGAUCUCGGAAAAGUGCAGUUUUAUCUGUCAAGCAAUACGCAAGGUGAGGGAUCUCCCAGUUGUGCUACUUUAUCAAUUGCUUAAGAGCUGGGAAAAACUCACAGAGGAUGUCAUUGAGAUUCAUGACAAAGUGAAGGAACUCCAAUCGCUGCUGAAAUUUGAGAAUGGCAAGAGUUUGAAACAAGAUUUGACAAAUAUACCCAAGAGACAUACAUCUCGGAGUCAUUUAAAUAUGGAUAAGGACUCAAAAGUGUUAAAUGAGAAAGCUGCUAGGUUGAUGGAGACCAUGGUUAGGGAUUACAUGCAGCCUGUUGAGUGCAUACCUUUUCACGAAAUAGUGUGUUUUAAGAAUGUUGACAAACUACAAUCAGCUUUAAUGGGAGAUCCAAGAAGAAGAAUUCAACUUGAUCUUCUGGAGUUCCAAAAAAUCCUUCUUUGUAGUUGCUGCAGCAAUAGUAGUAAAGCGAUAUUACCAUCUAUGCACGACACUUCAAUUCUGUAUACCCUGGCUCAGGAGCAUGGUGAUCUUAUCAAUCUCCAUGAUUGGUACCAGUCUUUCAAAUCAACUGUCUUUCAGCCAAGUACCAAAGGGAAACACAAGCUGAAGCAGUCCCCAGCUAAGAAAAGAAAGGACACAAAUGAAUCUCAAAACCAGAGUGAAGCAUCGAUUCAGUAUCCUAUUCCUUUUCCAUUCUGCAUAGCAUUUUUCACUUUCAUCGGAUUAGUAACUAUGAUGCAGACUUCUUAAACAUACAAUGGAUUCAAACAUUAAAUCACAAAUUCACACUGCAUAACUUGUUGGGAAGGCCAGAUUAGGUGCUUUUAACCCUUUUGUUAUAGAUAUUAAUUUAGGAUCCUAGAAUUUCGCUUGAGUUUUACUGUCAGUGUCAUUUCAUUAGAUUAUAUGAAUAGAAAUGAUCAAGACAAUGAAAAUCAUGGAAAACAUUUACUGUAUUUUGGCCAUUUAUGCAGGAAUCCGAACUUACAAGACUCUCCAAACUUGAGACAAGAACCAUAGAAAACAGUAACUAGAUUCUAAUGAUUUGCAAACUUGAGCUGGAAACAAACACUGCAUGAAGUUACUCUAGAGUGCGAUUCUGCAGGGCAGUCACAGAGCUCCAGAUUACUGGCCUGCUACGGAUGCCCAGCAAAAGACGGCCAGAUUAUGUGCAGAGGGUAGCAUUCGGAUUGUAACGACUGGAGCCAGCCAUUAACCGGUUUGCUCUGCCUUGCUUCAUUCUUCUUUGAUGAUCUUUCCUUAUAUGCAAAUGAAUUCUAUCUUGAUUUUAUGCAAUUGUAUGAUUAUUUCGUUCAAAGAUUAGCUGAAAAAUGCAGUUUUAGGCAUAAGAAUGAUGUUUGUAGUUGUAUCAAUGAACUGAAGAAAAUUAACACAGGGAACUUGUACUGAUAUAACAAUUUGUGGAAA
Molecule: RNA transcript, 3426 nt
Organism: Vitis vinifera (wine grape)
Lineage: Eukaryota; Viridiplantae; Streptophyta; Magnoliopsida; Vitales; Vitaceae
Gene name: origin of replication complex subunit 3
Exons: 17
Source: RefSeq, a predicted model, not a curated record